UACGGGGGGGGCAAGCGUUGUUCGGAAUUACUGGGCGUAAAGGGCUCGUAGGUGGCCAACUAAGUCAGACGUGAAAUCCCUCGGCUUAACCGGGGAACUGCGUCUGAUACUGGAUGGCUUGAGUUCGGGAGAGGGAUGCGGAAUUCCAGGUGUAGCGGUGAAAUGCGUAGAUAUCUGGAGGAACACCGGUGGCGAAGGCGGGUCUCUGGGCAUUAACUGACGCUGAGGAGCGAAAGCAUGGGGAGCAAACAGG
Molecule: ribosomal RNA, 253 nt
Filed under: uncultured bacterium
Lineage: Bacteria
Description: partial 16S ribosomal RNA
Rfam family: Bacterial small subunit ribosomal RNA
Source: RNAcentral